CCGUCUCAGCUGCUGCUAGCGAUCGGGUUUUCUGCAUAAAUACGUGCUGGAGAUGUGCAUCAUCGUCCACAUAAGUCUUAGUUUGAAUGUAUCUUGUGUUGUGUGCGUCCUAUAUGAAGAAACCACACCCUCCAUCGCAAUCAUACAUUUCAUGCUUCAUCUGAUAAGCACUAAGCUUUCUCAAGGAGACCAGAUUCUUUAAAGACUGUGCUUAAGUUUCGCCUCUAACAGGCUCACGCCUCCAGUCAUUCUCAGCAACCCGUGUCUGCUCAUCUGCAGCGGCCUCAGAGUUCAUCCUUGUCACAACACCUUAUCCACUGGGUGUUCAUUGCAGUCCUCAAGCUUUUUGGACCACAUCUUGUUAGUAGACACGGACUGAUGUGCAUGUAAAGGCUGACUCCCCCUCUGAGUUGAUCAUACCAUAUCUGUGAAAAUAAACCUGUUCAAACU
Long non-coding RNA from Carassius carassius (crucian carp), 450 nucleotides. RefSeq lists it as uncharacterized. The transcript has 2 exons. The record is from RefSeq and is a predicted model, not a curated record. Lineage: Eukaryota; Metazoa; Chordata; Actinopteri; Cypriniformes; Cyprinidae.